UACGUAGGGUGCGAGCGUUAAUCGGAAUUACUGGGCGUAAAGCGUGCGUAGGCGGUUUCAUAAGCUUGAUGUGAAAGCCCCGGGCUCAACCUGGGAAUGGCAUUGAGGACUGUGGAGCUAGAGUGCGGCAGAGGGAGGUGGAAUUCCACGUGUAGCAGUGAAAUGCGUAGAGAUGUGGAGGAACACCGAUGGCGAAGGCAGCCUCCUGGGCCGACACUGACGCUGAGGGCACGAAAGCGUGGGGAGCAAACAGG
Molecule: ribosomal RNA, 254 nt
Filed under: uncultured bacterium
Lineage: Bacteria
Description: partial 16S ribosomal RNA
Rfam family: Bacterial small subunit ribosomal RNA
Source: RNAcentral